AAUGAACGCUGGCGGCAGGCCUAACACAUGCAAGUCGAACGGGCACUUCGGUGCUAGUGGCGGACGGGUGAGUAACGCGUGGGAACGUGCCCCUUGGUACGGAAUAGCCCCGGGAAACUGGGAGUAAUACCGUACGUGGUCGAGAGACGAAAGAUUUAUCGCCAAGGGAUCGGCCCGCGUUGGAUUAGGUAGUUGGUGGGGUAAUGGCCUACCAAGCCGACGAUCCAUAGCUGGUUUGAGAGGAUGAUCAGCCACACUGGGACUGAGACACGGCCCAGACUCCUACGGGAGGCAGCAGUGGGGAAUCUUAGACAAUGGGGGAAACCCUGAUCUAGCCAUGCCGCGUGAUCGAUGAAGGCCUUAGGGUUGUAAAGAUCUUUCAGGUGGGAAGAUAAUGACUGUACCACCAGAAGAAGCCCCGGCUAACUCCGUGCCAGCCGCCGCGGUAA
RNAcentral lists this ribosomal RNA (449 nucleotides) under uncultured bacterium. RNAcentral's name for it is "partial 16S ribosomal RNA". It matches the Rfam family "Bacterial small subunit ribosomal RNA", at positions 29 to 523 of the family's 1533-position model. The record is from RNAcentral.